UAAUAAGGCAAUGAAAUUUGAAAAUUUCAAAUUUUAACGGCAAAAGUUUUUGAAAACCGCGAAGCUGGGAAAUUGGUAACUAAUACGUCAUAGUAGGAAGACAUUGCCUUCUCGCCUAAGUGAAAAGAAUAUAAAUACUAAGUGAGAAUCACAAUCAAGCUGGUCAAAAUUCGAUACAAAUGUCUUCGUCGAGUUCAGAUACGGAGAAUAACAGUUACCAAAGCGAUGACUGUCUGAAAUUAUAUUCCUGGGCCGUAUCAAAUCGAGUGAAAUCGAUGAAAAUACCAGUGAAGCGUGGUCAACGUCGGUUGUGCGCACAAAUGAUCGGCGCUGCUUGAUCCAUAUGUUAAUGAACCAUGCAGUGACCGACGAAGAUGGCUCAAAAGUUACCGCGAAAAAAAGCAAUCACAACGAACAUCUUAAGCAAUUACAACAAAGGCUUGAUAGUUCAGAAGAAUUGAGUAAAUGGUAAAUAUUUCACUCUGAUAUUCAUGUUGCGUGACUUGACCUUGUGUUGUAAAUUACAAACUAUAAUAUUUCAUGUGUAAACGUGGCAAUUGUCGCAUUGAACUCACUUCGUAAAUUAUGCUAAAGAGUGUCAAUGUUGUAUGGAAAUUGAGGAGUGCGUCGAUUCUCUACACAGUGACAUUGUGAUUUGUGAUGCAAGAAGCUGAAGUCGCGCCAUCGUGUAUAAUUCAACAGCUAUGGCUAGAUAAGUGAGCUCUCCGUUCAGCAGCCACGAAAUUACGAACAAGAAAGAAACAGGAAUACCGUCAAACAAGCACAGAAGAUAGGUAAAUAAAGUUUUAUUUAUCAACUUAUUGAAAUUAAGAAACACUUUACCGUACCCGAGUUUACUAUCAGUGAACACACGCAUGCGGUACGGUAACUGAGAGUUUAUAUACGGUACAUACUGUACAAUUAUUGAAUUAUUAUAUAUUUACAUGUGUUCACAUGCAAGUAAGCGAAUUAUUAAAAAUACUUAUUUAUUAAUUUAUAGAUUCUGAAGGAGCACAGCAUAUAGAAACUUUGUGUGGAUGGUUUAUGGACAACUAGGAAAUAGACAUUUCACAUUUUUGCGCAUAUGAGAAAAUAAUGCCUGCUGUUGAUGAAGACUUUGUAGGAUUUGUAGAGAACAGCUCUUGAUAUUAUAUAACUAUUUUCCAAUAAAUAAACCUAUUACACUGUAUAAACGUGGUAAUAUUAUACUGUAUUGCGUAUAGAAACAGCACAUUUGCUAUAUUUAUGACUUCAAUAUUGUUUUGCCAAAGAGACUGAAAUUUGAGAUUAAGAUUUGUAUCCGAUGUUUUUCUGCACUUCGUGCGCGCAGGUUAAUUUGUACAAAGUGUUGCAGCACGUUUAGGAAUUUUUCUGACUUGUAUUUCGUUCCAGGCACUGCCUUAUACUAUAGCAAAUGUGGCAAUGACUAAGUUAUUUCUUUAAGUUGCUUCAAUGGAUUAUACUUUGUAAUACAUUUUAU
Molecule: non-coding RNA, 1480 nt
Organism: Paramuricea clavata
Lineage: Eukaryota; Metazoa; Cnidaria; Anthozoa; Malacalcyonacea; Plexauridae
Source: the annotation of a GenBank genome assembly